AGCCAUGCAUGUUUCCGCAAUCAGGGACGAAUAGCUCAGUAAAACUGCGAUGAUUUAGUCUGGCUGUGUAGAUAACUACGUGAAAAUGUAGCUAAGGGAAGGCAGAAUAAGACGCAGGACUAUCAGUUAGUUGGUAGUGUAAUGGACUACCAAGACAGUGACGGUUGACGGGAAAUUAGGGUUUUGUACCGGAGAGGGAGCCUGAGAGAUUGCUCCCACGUCCAAGGACGGCAGCAGGCGCGAAAAUUGCCCACUCUUUGCAGGAGGCAGUUAUGAGACGUGAAGAUGAGUAUCUUGUAAAGAGGGAUAGGAGAAUUGGAGGGCAAGUUUGGUGCCAGCAGCCGCGGUAAUACCGACUCCAAGAGUGUGUAUGAGAGAUGCUGCAGUUAAAAAGUCCGUAGUCAUAGAAGGGCAAAGAGAGAUGCGAGGUCUCACAGUGCGAUGAUGGAGGAGCCGAUGGGGAACAUA
RNAcentral lists this ribosomal RNA (468 nucleotides) under Vittaforma corneae. Its description in RNAcentral is "SSU rRNA". It matches the Rfam family "Microsporidia small subunit ribosomal RNA", at positions 46 to 546 of the family's 1311-position model. The record is from RNAcentral. Lineage: Eukaryota; Fungi; Microsporidia; Nosematidae.